This 484-nucleotide ribosomal RNA is filed under the name uncultured bacterium. RNAcentral describes it as "partial 16S ribosomal RNA". It matches the Rfam family "Bacterial small subunit ribosomal RNA", at positions 30 to 507 of the family's 1533-position model. The record is from RNAcentral.
AUUGAACGCUGGCGGCAGGCCUAACACAUGCAAGUCGAGCGGAUGAAGGGAGCUUGCUCCUGGAUUCAGCGGCGGACGGGUGAGUAAUGCCUAGGAAUCUGCCUGGUAGUGGGGGAUAACGUCCGGAAACGGGCGCUAAUACCGCAUACGUCCUGAGGGAGAAAGUGGGGGAUCUUCGGACCUCACGCUAUCAGAUGAGCCUAGGUCGGAUUAGCUAGUUGGUGGGGUAAAGGCCUACCAAGGCGACGAUCCGUAACUGGUCUGAGAGGAUGAUCAGUCACACUGGAACUGAGACACGGUCCAGACUCCUACGGGAGGCAGCAGUGGGGAAUAUUGGACAAUGGGGGAAAGCCUGAUCCAGCCAUGCCGCGUGUGUGAAGAAGGUCUUCGGAUUGUAAAGCACUUUAAGUUGGGAGGAAGGGCAGUAAGUUAAUACCUUGCUGUUUUGACGGUACCAACAGAAUAAGCACCGGCUAACUUCGUG